RNAcentral lists this ribosomal RNA (422 nucleotides) under uncultured bacterium. RNAcentral describes it as "bacterial SSU rRNA". It matches the Rfam family "Bacterial small subunit ribosomal RNA", at positions 355 to 774 of the family's 1533-position model. The record is from RNAcentral.
UGAGGAAUAUUGGUCAAUGGGCGCAAGCCUGAACCAGCCAUGCCGCGUGCAGGAAGACGGUCCUAUGGAUUGUAAACUGCUUUUAUUUGGGAAUAAACCUCUUUACGUGUAGAGAGCUGAAGGUACCAAAUGAAUAAGCACCUGCUAACUCCGUGCCAGCAGCCGCGGUAAUACGGAGGGUGCAAGCGUUAUCCGGAAUCAUUGGGUUUAAAGGGUCCGCAGGCGGUCUUAUAAGUCAUUUGUGAAAGCCUACAGCUCAACUGUAGAACUGCCAUUGAUACUGUAAGACUUGAAUUCAAUCGAAGGGGACGGAAUAUGACAUGAAGAGGUGAAAUGCUUAGAGAUGUCAUAGAACACCGAUAGCGAAGGCAGAUCACUAAGGAUGGAUUGAAGCAAAGAGACGAGAGAGUGGGGAGCAAACA